UCGAGAAUCUUCGGCAAUGGGCGCAAGCCUGACCGAGCGACGCCGCGUGGAGGAUGAAGGCCCUCGGGUUGUAAACUCCUGUCGAGGGGGAAAAAGGUCUCGCAAGAGGCUUGAUUGAUCCCUGGAGGAAGCACGGGCUAAGUUCGUGCCAGCAGCCGCGGUAAGACGAACCGUGCGAACGUUAUUCGGAAUCAUUGGGCUUAAAGCGCGUGUAGGCGGAUAAGCACGUCCGACGCUGAAAUCCCCCGGCUCAACCGGGGAACGGGCGCGGAUACGGCUUGUCUGGAGGGGCGGAGGGGGACCUGGAACUUCCGGUGGAGCGGUGAAAUGCGUUGAGAUCGGAAGGAACGCCCGUGGCGAAAGCGAGGUCCUGGACGCCUACUGACGCUGAGACGCGAAAGCCAGGGGAGCGAACG
RNAcentral lists this ribosomal RNA (416 nucleotides) under uncultured bacterium. Its description in RNAcentral is "bacterial SSU rRNA". It matches the Rfam family "Bacterial small subunit ribosomal RNA", at positions 355 to 774 of the family's 1533-position model. The record is from RNAcentral.